This 253-nucleotide ribosomal RNA is filed under the name uncultured bacterium. RNAcentral's name for it is "partial 16S ribosomal RNA". It matches the Rfam family "Bacterial small subunit ribosomal RNA", at positions 524 to 776 of the family's 1533-position model. The record is from RNAcentral.
GACGGAGGAUGCAAGUGUUAUCCGGAAUCACUGGGCGUAAAGCGUCUGUAGGUGGUUUAAUAAGUCAACUGUUAAAUCUUGAGGCUCAACCUCAAAAUCGCAGUCGAAAUUAUUAGGCUAGAGUAUAGUAGGGGUAAAGGGAAUUUCCAGUGGAGCGGUGAAAUGCGUAGAGAUUGGAAAGAACACCGAUGGCGAAGGCACUUUACUGGGCUAUUACUAACACUCAGAGACGAAAGCUAGGGUAGCAAAUGGG